UCGGGAAUUUUGGGCAAUGGGCGCAAGCCUGAUCCAGCCAUGCCGCGUGCAGGAAGAAGGCCUUCGGGUUGUAAACUGCUUUUGUACGGAACGAAAAGGCUCUUUCUAAUAAAGAGGGCCCAUGACGGUACCGUAAGAAUAAGCACCGGCUAACUACGUGCCAGCAGCCGCGGUAAUACGUAGGGUGCGAGCGUUAAUCGGAAUUACUGGGCGUAAAGCGUGCGCAGGCGGUUCUAUAAGACAGAUGUGAAAUCCCCGGGCUCAACCUGGGAAUGGCAUUUGUGACUGUAGAGCUAGAGUACGGUAGAGGGGGAUGGAAUUCCGCGUGUAGCAGUGAAAUGCGUAGAUAUGCGGAGGAACACCGAUGGCGAAGGCAAUCCCCUGGACCUGUACUGACGCUCAUGCACGAAAGCGUGGGGAGCAAACAGGAUUAGAUACCCCAGUAGUCCCUGAGCGGGCUGGCAAGGCGCAU
RNAcentral lists this ribosomal RNA (472 nucleotides) under uncultured bacterium. Its description in RNAcentral is "bacterial SSU rRNA". It matches the Rfam family "Bacterial small subunit ribosomal RNA", at positions 355 to 825 of the family's 1533-position model. The record is from RNAcentral.